RNAcentral lists this transfer RNA (65 nucleotides) under Nierstraszella lineata. RNAcentral describes it as "tRNA-Asn". The record is from RNAcentral. Lineage: Eukaryota; Metazoa; Mollusca; Polyplacophora; Lepidopleurida; Nierstraszellidae.
UAAGUAAUAGCUUAUAAAGCAUUUUAACUGUUAAUUAAAAUGAUGUAGAUUCCCUACUUACUUAG